ACCCCUUGUGCCCACUACACCAACCCCCUUGGCCCUGCUAACCACCAAAUUGUUCUCUCUGUCUAUGUGUUAGUUUAUCUUCCACAUAUGAGUGAAAUCAUGUGGUGUCUCUCUUUGUCUGCAAAAA
Ceratotherium simum simum (southern white rhinoceros) is the source of this 127-nucleotide non-coding RNA. Lineage: Eukaryota; Metazoa; Chordata; Mammalia; Perissodactyla; Rhinocerotidae. The record is from RefSeq and is a predicted model, not a curated record.